GUCAACCUUAACCCACCAGCGCGUCUGCAAUCCCCUCCCCGUGCGGUAGCCGCCGCGGCUAUCAUGUGCCCGGCGCUGCUCUCUUGUCCUGGUGGCCACCGACGAAUCUAAGUCGACCCUGACGCUGCAUCAGCUGACCUGCCCCCACCGCCCGAUCCCCCACUCAAUCCUUCCUCGCCGCCGCCGCUGCCGCCGAAGACCUGGGGGGGACGAAGCUAAAUUGCGGACUGGACACCUCUGCGUCGAGGAUACCGACCUCGAGCAGUCCACCAAGAAUUCCGAGGAGGCCAUCCUCAGCGACCUCUCCUUGCUCGGCCUCGACUGGGACGAAGAAUUCCUACAGCAAAUCAAAAGUGAGCAUCACUGUAUUGUACAGCACACACUGUUUCUAACCCUGCAAAUUCCCAACGCAAGACUUCAUAAUGCCACAAGGACCAAGAAUCAGAGAGGAAGGUCUGCCAAGAAAAGAGGAUGUCACAUGGAAAAUGAUAUUGUACUUAUUAUGCUGAAUUCUGAAUUGUUGAAGAUCAUACUGUAUUUUAGCUAUUAAUCAUAAAUUUUUUAGAAUCAUGAGGCUCCUUCUGUAUGACCAUUACUAUGAAUUCUUGAAGGAACGUGAAGAUUAUCACUAAUUAUUGAAAGAAAACUGUAUACAUUUGUACUA
Long non-coding RNA from Triticum dicoccoides, 664 nucleotides. RefSeq lists it as uncharacterized. The record is from RefSeq and is a predicted model, not a curated record. NCBI's taxonomy places the organism in Eukaryota, Viridiplantae, Streptophyta, Magnoliopsida, Poales, Poaceae. The transcript has 3 exons.